Cololabis saira (Pacific saury) is the source of this 676-nucleotide long non-coding RNA. RefSeq lists it as uncharacterized. Lineage: Eukaryota; Metazoa; Chordata; Actinopteri; Beloniformes; Belonidae. The record is from RefSeq and is a predicted model, not a curated record. The transcript is spliced from 3 exons.
UUUGUCUUCAGUUUGAUCGUAGACUCUUGCUGCUUCCUUCCUCUCCAACUUUAUCUGUCCUAUUCACAUUAACCCUCAUAAGAAAUGGAAGAAAUUGAAGGAAUUUUUGAGGCUUUUGAAGAUUAUGUUGACGGGGCAGACGAGGCUGCAGAAGACUUGACAGAAGAAGAAAAGGCAGAACUAGAAAGGGAAGUCGCUGAAGCAAAAAAUGCACUUUCUGAGCUUUCAGAACAAUUAAAGAGUUUCAAAGAAAUCCUUCAGAAUUUAAAAUCAGCCAUAGGGCCAAUAACAAAAUGGUUGGCAAGAAAUAUAGCUAUUGGUGCCAUCUUUUGGGGAGUAAGUACUGGUCUGACCAGACUGCUCAAGUAUGCAACUCCUAAAGAAAAGGAAACGAAACGUACUAUCAUUAGUGCUCUCAAGUGUGUGAUCAACAGUGAAACUGACCUAAGCAAGAAGACGCUGAGUUGGACCAAGGAUCACCAGGAUGACAUGAUUACCCUGGAAACCUAUCCCGUGCCUCUGGAAUCCAUCAUGGCCAAAUAUCUGACUCCAGUAUCAAAGGCUGUUGAGGAAGCUUUCGAUAUUGCAGAGAGGUUUCAGACCAAGAUUGGUGGGAAAGUGCAGCCGAAGCUCCCGAACGCAGGAGAUAUAACGCAGUUCCUCACCGCUGCUGAAG